CCUACGGGAGGCAGCAGUGAGGAAUAUUGGACAAUGGGCGCAAGCCUGAUCCAGCCAUGCCGCGUGCAGGAAGAAGCAUCUAUGGUGUGUAAACUGCUUUUGUACAGGAAGAAACACUCCCUCGUGAGGGAGCUUGACGGUACUGUAAGAAUAAGGACCGGCUAACUCCGUGCCAGCAGCCGCGGUAAUACGGAGGGUCCGAGCGUUAUCCGGAAUCAUUGGGUUUAAAGGGUCCGUAGGCGGUUUAAUAAGUCAGUGGUGAAAUCUGGUCGCUCAACGAUCAAACGGCCAUUGAUACUGUUAGACUUGAAUUAUAAGGAAGUAACUAGAAUAUGUAGUGUAGCGGUGAAAUGCUUAGAUAUUACAUGGAAUACCAAUUGCGAAGGCAGGUUACUACUUAUGGAUUGACGCUGAUGGACGAAAGCGUGGGGAGCGAACAGGAUUAGAUACCCUGGUAGUCCACGCCGUAAACGAUGGAUACUAGCUGUUCGGAGCAAUCUGAGUGGCUAAGCGAAAGUGAUAAGUAUCCCACCUGGGGAGUACGUUCGCAAGAAUGAAACUCAAAUGAAUUGACGG
Molecule: ribosomal RNA, 576 nt
Filed under: uncultured bacterium
Lineage: Bacteria
Description: bacterial SSU rRNA
Rfam family: Bacterial small subunit ribosomal RNA
Source: RNAcentral